AUUGUAAACUAUAAAAUAAUU
RNAcentral lists this small RNA (21 nucleotides) under Arabidopsis thaliana (thale cress). RNAcentral describes it as "ATSL289830". The record is from RNAcentral. Lineage: Eukaryota; Viridiplantae; Streptophyta; Magnoliopsida; Brassicales; Brassicaceae.